This is a long non-coding RNA of Oxyura jamaicensis (ruddy duck), 791 nucleotides long. RefSeq lists it as uncharacterized. NCBI's taxonomy places the organism in Eukaryota, Metazoa, Chordata, Aves, Anseriformes, Anatidae. The record is from RefSeq and is a predicted model, not a curated record. The transcript has 4 exons.
AUCUUGGUCCCUAAUUCUCUUAGGGUUGUGUUUGGCUGUAGGCCUUGUUCAGCUGGACUCUGAUAUGGGGAUUAUUCUCUUGGUUGGAUUUUGGACUUGCAUUAUUGUUGCAAGCUUGCCUUGUGAUCUGCACUCAGUUGAAGUUGGCUGUUGUCCUUGGACCUGCUCCACUUGCCAUGCUUAGACUCUAGUCUUAGAAUAACCUGUAUCCACCGCCUUUGUACAGACCACCCAGUGCAGCUGGCAUUUCAAAGGGCUGCGGGCCACUGGAGAGCUAAAACAAUGAAUUUCUACAAUCUGAGCUGAUUUACUUUUUAAACUCAUAAGGAGGUUUCUGUCUUGCACCGAGAAUUUAUGAGUGCCUGUUGUUUAUGGCACAGGUCAGGAAGUGAUCUGGGAAGCACUUCUCUACUCUGGAAAUUAGUCUUUCAGAGAAACAGAAAUAAAGUGAUAUAAGAAAUGCACAGCUCUAUUUUUCCCCCAAAGUUGUAUGCUUUUCAUUGGGGCAUAGUAAGGACAAAUCAAUGAGACAAGUGUGCACAGUGAAUCAUAAGGGGUUUCAAACUGCCUAAAGAUAUAUUAACUCAGAGUGAAUUAUGUAUUAAGAUAACCAUUCUUCUAAAUAUCUGCUAACACGAAUGCUGGAAAAUUAUAGAACCAAUUCUGAAAUCCUUGUUCAGUAUUGGAGCCAUGUUUAUCAAGUCCAGUUGGGUUUUAAUGGAAUCCAUUCAUGAAAUCACGAAGUGUUGUGAUACUUAUUAAUCACUUAAACUAAGUCUUUAAUGGAAAAG